This 77-nucleotide transfer RNA is filed under the name bacterium. RNAcentral describes it as "tRNA-Val". It matches the Rfam family "tRNA". From Rfam's summary of the family: Transfer RNA (tRNA) molecules are approximately 80 nucleotides in length. Their secondary structure includes four short double-helical elements and three loops (D, anti-codon, and T loops). The record is from RNAcentral. RNAcentral also lists the same sequence under 6 other names.
GGGCGCUUAGCUCAGCUGGCUAGAGCAUCUCGUUUACACCGAGAGGGUCGGGGGUUCGAGUCCCUCAGCGCCCACCA